UAAUAAAAAAAAUCUUAUCUUUAUAAAAAAAAUUAAUAUACAAGCAAGCACUAUUUACAAAAUAAUUCAUCAAUAUUGAUCAUGAAAUCAUGAAAUCAAAUUAAGACUAUAAUUAAACCUCAUAAUUAUUGGACCAUUUAUUUAUUUAAUUAGUUGGCUUCUCUACAAAGACCUUCCUUUUAUGUUUGAUCCCAAAAGGAGUGACCUCUUUGUCACACACAUCAAAACCAUGCCACACAUGCCUAGGCAGGUACCGACGGAAAUAGAAAUAAUCUGAGCUAAGAUGAGACCUCUCCAAAACCCUAACUUGAGCAAAACCUGGUCGCCAAUCAUCUGUUCCAGCUAAUUUUAGAUACAGGUAGCAAACUGGUGACUCCACACAUUGCCCUGUGACUUGAAAUUGGUCUACCAUGCACGCUUGGAAUGGUUUCCUUGGCAUAUCAUCAAGCACCUCAGGUUGUAAUGGAUCCAACUUUCUUAUGUGCUUGUUGUUCAGGUGGUGCACUACAAUGUCAUUAGAUUUUGAAUCACCAAAUCUCAGUCUAACAUGAUUUGAGGUUUCUGCUCCAUUUGUACAUGUUGUUUCUAUUGUAAUUGCAUAGCUGCAAUUUCCCUGAAUUGCAAAUACAAUAAAUUAUAGUAUUGGAAUAAUCUUUGGAGCUGUGAGAUCUCAAGUUCAAGCUCUGAUCGAAGCCAAUUGUGUAAAAAAAUUCAGAAAAAGAAAGAAAGAAGAAUUCAUUACCUUCUUUUGAGGCGGUAGACUUUCACAUCCUGCCAGUAAAGCAAGCAAAAACAAGCAAAAGGUAAAGAACAAACCUCUGCAACUCUCCAUUUCCAGAUGGACCUCUUGAGCUUAAAACACAAAGAUGCAAGCCCAAGUAUUUGUCGGUG
This 891-nucleotide unclassified non-coding RNA is filed under the name Hevea brasiliensis (rubber tree). The record is from RNAcentral. Lineage: Eukaryota; Viridiplantae; Streptophyta; Magnoliopsida; Malpighiales; Euphorbiaceae.